UGGGACCGAACAUGGAUGACAAAUUGGGCAUUCCAAAAAAUUUGGGGAAUUGGGCAUUUCAAUGUGGGGAUAAAAUGGAAAAAUGAAAAAAAAAAAAACUGGUGCAGUGUGCAUCCCCACUCCAGCCUGUGCCGCUGUAUUUAAAGGACUGACGUUAUCUGUCCGUCCGUCUGUCUGUACCUUCGGCUCUCCACCAUCCCAGCCUGCUGCAGCACACUCCGCCCCCAGCUCCCAGCUCUGACACAAUGUUUCCACAGCGUUAAGGAGACGUUGCUAGAACGUUACUGUCUCUGUCCCCUACCUCAGUGAGACUGGGAGAUGGCUCUGUGCUGCCCCUGUCUGUAGGGGAAGCGGAGAGGCGUUGUGCUUGAGGAAGGCCUGAUAACCAGAAGGCCCAGCUGCUGUGCCCUUAGGCAAGGUGCUCAACAGGAAUUCCACGCGUGAGCACAUCCAGCCGCAUAAACUGUAUCACACGGAGGCUACGCAGCACAGGCAGCAGUCCCAGUAGGAAGUCGCUGCCAGAUCCACACCGGGUCCCGACCCAUUUGUUCUUUCGGCAGUGGAGCUUUCUGUAGGAGCCUGGCCAGAGCUACGUCUGGAGCUGCAGAGAGCACAUGGCAGCAGCAGAAUGUUCUAGAGUUUCGCUGUUGUUGUACAGCCAACAGUGUCCCAAGGCUGCACGGUUUGCUUUGACCUUUGACCCCUGGAAGGCCCUUCACUCCUCAGAGUGUCACAGCCACACUGGCACAGAGAGAGAGGGAGGAGCAGGCGCCGUGCAGUGACGGAGACCUGUCCUUCUCACUUGUGGCUUUAUGUUUUUUCUUUUCUUUUUUUAAAUGUUCCCUUAUUUACCCAAUCCUGAGCAUGCCAGCACCCCCGCCUCUGCUGGAUGAACAGCAGAAGCAGCCGGUUCCUCCAUAUGAGGA
Long non-coding RNA from Megalops cyprinoides (Indo-Pacific tarpon), 926 nucleotides. RefSeq lists it as uncharacterized. NCBI's taxonomy places the organism in Eukaryota, Metazoa, Chordata, Actinopteri, Elopiformes, Megalopidae. The record is from RefSeq and is a predicted model, not a curated record. The transcript is spliced from 3 exons.